This 1303-nucleotide long non-coding RNA is filed under the name Sus scrofa (pig). RNAcentral's name for it is "lncRNA (ENSSSCG00015010760.1)". Lineage: Eukaryota; Metazoa; Chordata; Mammalia; Artiodactyla; Suidae. The record is from RNAcentral.
AUGCUCUCUGCCCCCUGCCCCCUCCUCUGUAGGUCAUGUCUCUGGCCCAGAGCGAUUCUUGGCUCAGGUACCCCUAGUCCAGGGAAGGCAGGACCCAAGCUGAGCCCCUGCACAGCCCCUCUCCCUGGAGCCUCACACCAAUGCCCCAAUGCUGCAAGCUCAGUGAAGUCGCCCUCCUUUUACCGCAGGGAACAAGAUUCACAGGACCUGCCUAAGGUUGCGGAGCUUGAAUGCAGCAAAGGGCUACAAGAAGAGUGGGGGAGCGGGAGAGAGACGCAAGAGAAGAAAAAAGACAACAGGUGAGUGAUGAUACGGAUCACGGGAAAGACCAGCCUAGGUACUUCUGCGAGGAUGGAGAGGGGAGGGGAAGGUCAAUGUUCUGAUUCAUCAACUAACUAACAGGCUGUACUGGUUAAAAAUACAGCCUUUAAACUUUAAAGGGCAAAUAAGACUCUCUAGAACUUACAUGUUUUAGUUUCUACCUACAAUUUAAUCAAUUGACCUGUAAAUCUCCUUCAUUUAAAAAUAUUUUUAUGGAGUUCCCUUUGUGGCUCAGCGGUCAACGAACCUGACUAAGGUCCAUGAGGUUGCAGGUUCGAUCCCUGGCCUUGCUCAGUGGAUUAAGGAUCCGGCGUUGCCAUGAGCUGUGGUGUAGGUUGAAGAUGCAGCUUGGAUCCUGCAUUGCUGUGGCUGUGGUAUAGGCUGGAAGCUACAGCUCCUAUUGGACCCCUAGCCUAGGAACCUCCACAUGCCAUGGAAGAGGGCUCCCCCCCCCCAAAAAAAAGCAAAAAUAUUUCAUUUAAAAAUUUACCAUGGGGAGUUCCUGUUGUGGCGCAGUGGUUAACGAAUCCGACUAGGAACCACGAGGUUGAGGGUUAGAUCCCUGCCCUUGCUAAGUGGGUUAAGGAUCCGGUGUUGCCCUGAGCUGUGGUGUAGGUUGCAGACGCGGCUCAGAUCCCGCAUUGCUGUGGCUCUGGCGUAGGCCGGCAGCUACAGCUCUGAUUAGACCCCUAGCCUGGGAAUCUCCAUAUGCCGCAGGAACAGCCCAAGAAAUAGCAAAAAGACAAAAAGAAAAAAAAAAUUUUCCGUGGAAAACAGAAAAUGAAAAGACAGGAAUGGCCCAUGUGUGACCUGAUUCUAGGGGGAAUCAGACAUUAAAAUCCUAAGUGAAAACCAGCAAGGAUGGGCUGCAGAGCCCGGAAACCAGACCUAAGAAAGGCAGUCAAGGUGAGCUUUCCGGAGGUGAAGCCAAAACAAAAUGUGAAGACAAGUAGGAGUUCCCAAGCAGAGACUGCUUGGGGAC